RNAcentral lists this ribosomal RNA (399 nucleotides) under uncultured bacterium. RNAcentral describes it as "bacterial SSU rRNA". It matches the Rfam family "Bacterial small subunit ribosomal RNA", at positions 357 to 772 of the family's 1533-position model. The record is from RNAcentral.
AGGAAUAUCGCACAAUGGGCGAAAGCCUGAUGCAGCGACGCCGCGUGGGUGAUGAAGGUUUUCGGAUCGUAAAGCCCUUUUCUGCAUGACGAGACAGGACGGUAGUGCAGGAAGAAGGGUCGGCUAACUACGUGCCAGCAGCCGCGGUAAAACGUAGGACACAAGCGUUAUCCGGAAUUACUGGGCGUAAAGGGCGUGCAGGCGGUUGCGUAAGUUAGGCGUGAAAGACUUCGGCUAAACCGGGGGAGGUCGUCUGAUACUGCGCAACUAGAGGAUGGUAGAGGCGUGUAGAAUUCCGGGUGUAGUGGUGAAAUGCGUAGAGAUCCGGAGGAAUACCAGUGGCGAAGGCGGCACGCUGGGCCAUUACUGACGCUAAAACGCGAAAGCAUGGGUAGCGAA